ACUCCUACGGGAGGCAGCAGUGGGAAUAUUGCACAAUGGGCGCAAGCCUGAUGCAGCCAUGCCGCGUGUAUGAAGAAGGCCUUCGGGUUGUAAAGUACUUUCAGCAGUGAGGAAGGGUGAUAUGUUAAUAGCAUAUUCAUUUGACGUUAGCUGCAGAAGAAGCACCGGCUAACUCCGUGCCAGCAGCCGCGGUAAUACGGAGGGUGCGAGCGUUAAUCGGAAUUACU
This 227-nucleotide ribosomal RNA is filed under the name uncultured bacterium. RNAcentral describes it as "partial 16S ribosomal RNA". It matches the Rfam family "Bacterial small subunit ribosomal RNA", at positions 335 to 555 of the family's 1533-position model. The record is from RNAcentral.